Mytilus californianus (California mussel) is the source of this 1238-nucleotide long non-coding RNA. RefSeq lists it as uncharacterized. The record is from RefSeq and is a predicted model, not a curated record. The transcript has 3 exons. NCBI's taxonomy places the organism in Eukaryota, Metazoa, Mollusca, Bivalvia, Mytilida, Mytilidae.
AUAAAACCAUUCUGAUAAAGACACCAACAGACAAACACCUUGCAAGACUUGCCAAGCAGCUAAGUAUCAAUAAAUGUAAAGAAUUAAUGGUGUAUCUUGGGAUAGAAGCGACAGAGUGGGAAGACAUUGAAUAUGUCUACCAAAAGCAGCCUCUGAUUAUGAGAUUUAUGGCAUUGAAGGAGAAGCCUUCCAAAUCAUUUAAUGAUUUGCUUAAAGCACAAGAACACAUUAAAGAUGGAAGGCAUUUACUUUGCAAGGUGUUCAGAGAAGACACAGGUUUAGUUGAUAUUGCAGAUGUUCGACUGCAAGAAAUUCCACAUGAUGAUGUUUUAAAUGGUUUGUCCAAGCACCUUGGUAAUUGCGCCAUACUCUUGGGAAUUGAGCUAGAAAUUACUAUCAGUUCCAUAGAGGAGACAAUGACACGGUAUCCUAGGGAUAUGUACCUUCAGAUAGAAGACAUCCUGAGAAAAUGGAAAUCCUCAAGAAAAGUAAAACCUACAAUAUACAGGUUGAUGCUUGCUGUGGAACGUGUAUAUAGUGGUGGUUUGGGUUAUUUAAAAAAAAUAUAUUUUAGACAAUAAUCUUUGUAUAAUCUAUGUUAAGUAGUGAAUGGUAUUCUUUGAAUCCUUUUUCUUCAACUUUGCAUGAUACCGUUAGUGUCGAUCAAAGUAACUGUGAAAUAGAAACUAUAAAAAAAUGUAAAAAAAUGAAAUAUUAAUAAUAUUAUUAGAUUGUAUAUUAGGCAAACAUAUUGUUUUACUGUAAAUUUUUGAAUUGAAAAAAAAAUGGAAAAUCUUAAUAUAAAAAAGAAAAAAAAACCUCUAUUGACUGAUCUGUUAUAUUUUGGCAUUCAGUCACGUCUAUCCACAAAUGCGUUUUUGUCCGCGAAUAUGUAAAUCUACCAAAGAUUGAGAAAAAACCAGUAAUGCUGGUGAUUUUUUCCAAUAUCCUUAUUCUUGGGCAUAGCAAUGUUUGGUUAUUCCAAGUAUCUGUUGUUUAACUGGUAUGCGACGUUUUGAUAAAACAAGUACUUUAAUAUUUUUCCUACAUAUCUACAUUAUGGAUAGAAUGAUAAAAAUUUGUGUGAGAUUUUUGUAAUUUUUGUAUUUCAAGUUGGUCUUCAAAUAUCUUAAAAGAACCGCAAUAUUGGUACACCUUAUAUUAUGAUUUUAGUUUCAAAUUUCGAUGAAACUAAUGCUAUGUGUGUAUAACAUUUAAACACUCAAUUUAUUUAAACU